AGAACAAUUGCGCGUGCACGAGAUGACUCCAUGUUUUACUUUCAGUGUUUGAACGAAUACAACAUCGCCCGGUUGGAAUAUUAUCGCUAUUUUACGAGAAAAAUCGCAUAAAAAUGUAUUUUAAACAGCGUUUGACAUGCUUCGAAGUACGGUAAUGGAAUAUUUUGACAUUUUUUGUCAUGAAACGCGCCGGGCGCGUCACCCUUCGGAUAGUUACCUGAACGCAUGAACAAAACGGAGCUAUUUCAAUAUAACUAUGGAUUAUUUCAAACCAAAACAACAUUUGUUGUUGAAGUAGAAGUCCUGGGAGUGCAUUCUGACGAAGAACAGCAAAGUUUGGAGGAAGAAGGAUACCUUGACCUGUCGAAUUCUAUCAACCUCUUCUGUGUGGAAUAUGUGUUCCUACCUCGUCUGCAGGCAGAUCUGCAGAAUUUCACAGUUAUUUCAGCUGUGUCGGUGAACCCCUCCCUCCAGCAUCUGAACUGGCUGACACAGAGGGCACAGCAUGAUCAUAGACAGCCCUUACAGAAUUACCCACCAACAAAGGACCAAGCAGCGGAAGAAGGCUG
RNAcentral lists this long non-coding RNA (569 nucleotides) under Salmo salar (Atlantic salmon). RNAcentral describes it as "lncRNA (ENSSSAG00000096153.1)". The record is from RNAcentral. Lineage: Eukaryota; Metazoa; Chordata; Actinopteri; Salmoniformes; Salmonidae.